This 66-nucleotide transfer RNA is filed under the name Lactica sp. BMNH 846625. RNAcentral describes it as "tRNA-Val". The record is from RNAcentral. Lineage: Eukaryota; Metazoa; Arthropoda; Insecta; Coleoptera; Chrysomelidae.
CAGUUUAAAGCUUUUCAAGCGUUUUAUUUACAUUAAAAAGAAAAUUGUUAAUUCAGUUUAAUCUGA